GAUCCGACCAACUGUGCGGAUUUGGCGGCAGCUUCGGCUGUCGUCGCCGUACGGUUCGGAAGGAACGCUUUUAUUAGAUCAAAACCGGCUAAACGGCGGUUUCGCUUCCGAGCGUCUCCGUCGUAAGCGGCCCGCGCAAAGAUUUGGUGACUCUGAAUAACUUCGAGCUGAUCGCACGGUCCUCGUACCGGCGACGUAUCUUUCAAAUGUCUGCCUUAUCAACUGUCGACGGUAGGUUCGACGCCUACCGUGGUGGUAACGGGUAACGGGGAAUCAGGGUUCGAUUCCGGAGAGGGAGCCUGAGAAACGGCUACCACAUCCAAGGAAGGCAGCAGGCGCGCAAAUUACCCACUCCCAGCUCGGGGAGGUAGUGACGAAAAAUAACGAUACGGGACUCAUUUGAGGCCCCGUAAUCGGAAUGGACA
Molecule: ribosomal RNA, 425 nt
Filed under: Saccharicoccus sacchari
Lineage: Eukaryota; Metazoa; Arthropoda; Insecta; Hemiptera; Pseudococcidae
Description: bacterial SSU rRNA
Rfam family: Eukaryotic small subunit ribosomal RNA
Source: RNAcentral